RNAcentral lists this ribosomal RNA (307 nucleotides) under uncultured bacterium. RNAcentral describes it as "partial 16S ribosomal RNA". It matches the Rfam family "Bacterial small subunit ribosomal RNA", at positions 506 to 807 of the family's 1533-position model. The record is from RNAcentral.
AGACAGCAGCCGCCGCGGUAAUACAGAGGGUGCGAGCGUUAAUCGGAUUUACUGGGCGUAAAGCGUGUGUAGGCGGCUAAUUGAGUCGGAUGUGAAAUCCCCGAGCUUAACUUGGGAAUUGCAUUCGAUACUGGUUAGCUAGAGUGUGGGAGAGGAUGGUAGAAUUCCAGGUGUAGCGGUGAAAUGCGUAGAGAUCUGGAGGAAUACCGAUGGCGAAGGCAGCCAUCUGGCCUAACACUGACGCUGAGGUACGAAAGCAUGGGGAGCAAACAGGAUUAGAUACCCGAGUAGUCCCUGUCUCUUAUAC